This 35-nucleotide ribosomal RNA is filed under the name Pyrenophora teres. Its description in RNAcentral is "partial 18S ribosomal RNA". Lineage: Eukaryota; Fungi; Ascomycota; Dothideomycetes; Pleosporales; Pleosporaceae. The record is from RNAcentral.
AAGGUCCUCCCGUAGGGUGAACCUUGCGGAGGGAU